CACUGGGCCAGAGGGGUUUUCUCCUCACCGUGGUGUGUGAGGAGUGCCUGAGAAUGCCAAGCCUGGAGUGGGGGGAUUUUGGCAAAUGCUCUGGAAAUUUGCAAGACCAGCGAUUUGUGGACAUCAGAUCUAUAGCCGGUAGCAUUGUCAGCUGACAGUUUUCCAAAGAAGAUAGGAAGUAAUCAGUGCAAACUUUGUGGAAAUUUGAUUAAUAAAAACCGAGAGCAACAUUUAAUCUACAUUCAAGAAGAAAGAUCUAAGUGCUGAGAAUACAACAAUGAAAAACCCAGAUUAAGCCUCUACUUUUGUGGAGUGCCCUACAGUUAAAUGACAGAUGUCACUUUUGCUGUCAACGCAUUUGCUAGCACUACUUAAAUGGCUCAUUUCAACUGUAAGGGAGAAAAGAAAUGAAAUCCUGCCAUGUACCUGGAGAUUGGAGCACAAGAAAUACUUGGUAAACAGCAGAAAUGACCAUUAUCACAGUGCACCCUUCCCACCACCAAACAUUUGACCCAUUCUCUCUCUCACAGGCAAGGUACUUUCCCAUGGGAGACACAGCAAACAUUCUACUUAGACAUGUCAGGAAGCUGAAAUUCUAGAGGCUGUGAAUGAUGCCAGGCAUCAUUCAGGUAGGCUCUGUAUCAGAUGGCAUUUAUAUCAAGUCUGAAUGUGACUUAUCUUCAU
Long non-coding RNA from Cercocebus atys (sooty mangabey), 684 nucleotides. RefSeq lists it as uncharacterized. Lineage: Eukaryota; Metazoa; Chordata; Mammalia; Primates; Cercopithecidae. The transcript has 3 exons. The record is from RefSeq and is a predicted model, not a curated record.